AUGCAUAGCUUUAUUACUUAUGAAUUUAGUCACGAACAAUUUAUUUUCAUUGAGUCUUCAACCGUGGAUAUAUAUUGAACAAGUCAACUGAAAGAGGUAUUGAACAAGUCAAUUGAAAGACCAACGACGAAAUGAAUUCUUUGAAGUGCAUCAUGCUUUUUCUGGCAUUUGUUCAAUUGUCGAAAACCUCACCUGUUAUUUUCUGGGAAGACUUCGAAAAACGAGAUAAAACAAAUGCAUCAUGCCGUUGUUCAAAUGGAAAAACUGGUACUUUUCGGUAUGCUCAAUGCUUCAAUGGGGAGAAACGCUGUAAUGCCGAUGUAGUCACUUUCUUUGUAUGCUGCAUUGGACAAUAACUGUACUGUAAACGAUUCAGGAAAUUGAACUAAAACUGAAAAUGAAUGUCAUUUGCUAAUUGAAUGUUAAAUCAUAUCAUAUUGUUAUAUUUGGAUUCUAAAAUGUUCUUUAACUAUGAAGUUUGCCUUAAAAAUGAAAAAUGCUAAGAGCUCA
Xenia sp. Carnegie-2017 is the source of this 510-nucleotide long non-coding RNA. RefSeq lists it as uncharacterized. Lineage: Eukaryota; Metazoa; Cnidaria; Anthozoa; Malacalcyonacea; Xeniidae. The transcript is spliced from 3 exons. The record is from RefSeq and is a predicted model, not a curated record.